This 319-nucleotide long non-coding RNA is filed under the name Helianthus annuus (common sunflower). Its description in RNAcentral is "sRNA HanXRQr2_Chr01g0035071". The record is from RNAcentral. Lineage: Eukaryota; Viridiplantae; Streptophyta; Magnoliopsida; Asterales; Asteraceae.
GUAUUCCACUCUGUUAAACUAAAUGUUUAACUACCAGAAACUCUACACUAUACACUUACAAUCAAAAUAGAUGCUUAGUUAUCAGGAGACUUAGAAUCAAGAGGCCUGUUAAAUCAAGACUAUAUGCUAACAAGGUGAUUACGGUAGAUCGGAAUAAGAGUUGUGAUACGGCAUCGAAAGGCUUAAAGAAGUGGCUUAUUUUAUCAGUUAAACUAAACCAAGAAAUGUUGUUCGGGUUUAUCCCAUACUAAAGCUACCUUUGUAAAACAUGGGUUUAUUCCCAUCUGUUUAAUAAAUAAAAAAAAUCCGGUGUUUCAAA